CUCGCAAGAGUGAACUAGCUAACUGGAAUCACGAGUGUGUCACUUGUGAAAAUAAAGGGAAAAAUAAUGAUAUCUCCUUUUAUAGUAGUGUUGUCCAAACCUGGACUCGGUAAGGCCAGAGACGCAAGCGUUAAUCAUCUUGAUCAGGCGUAAAGGGUUUGUAGGCAGCUUAAAUUCAUUUAAGAUUGAAUCAUAUUGAGGUCAAGAGAAUUCUUAGUGUAGGGUUGGUAUCUGUAAAUACUAAGGAGAAUUCUAAUUAGCGAAGGCACUUUUCCAAUUAAUGAUUGACGCUGAGAAACGAAGGGGAGGAUAGACAAUAGGAUUUGAUACCCUGGCAUCCCUCCCUGUAAACGAUGAAUGGUAGUUGCUAGUAAAUAAUUAUUAGUGACGAUGCUAACGCGUUAACCAUUCCGCCUUGUGAGUACGACUGCAAAGUUGAAAACAAAAAAAUUAGUCGGUUUCGGAGCAA
Molecule: ribosomal RNA, 469 nt
Filed under: Phallogaster phillipsii
Lineage: Eukaryota; Fungi; Basidiomycota; Agaricomycetes; Hysterangiales; Hysterangiaceae
Description: SSU rRNA
Rfam family: Bacterial small subunit ribosomal RNA
Source: RNAcentral